GAUGAACGCUAGCGGGAGGCCUAACACAUGCAAGCCGAGCGGUAUUUGUUCUUCGGAACAGAGAGAGCGGCGCACGGGUGCGGAACACGUGUGCAACCUGCCUUUAUCUGGGGGAUAGCCUUUCGAAAGGAAGAUUAAUACCCCAUAAUAUAUUGUGUGGCAUCACUUGAUAUUGAAAACUCCGGUGGAUAGAGAUGGGCACGCGCAAGAUUAGAUAGUUGGUGAGGUAACGGCUCACCAAGUCAAUGAUCUUUAGGGGGCCUGAGAGGGUGAUCCCCCACACUGGUACUGAGACACGGACCAGACUCCUACGGGAGGCAGCAGUGAGGAAUAUUGGACAAUGGGUUAGCGCCUGAUCCAGCCAUCCCGCGUGAAGGACGACGGCCCUAUGGGUUGUAAACUUCUUUUGUAUAGGGAUAAACCUACUCUCGUGAGAGUAGCUGAAGGUACUAUACGAAUAAGCACCGGCUAACUCCGUG
RNAcentral lists this ribosomal RNA (479 nucleotides) under uncultured bacterium. RNAcentral's name for it is "partial 16S ribosomal RNA". It matches the Rfam family "Bacterial small subunit ribosomal RNA", at positions 28 to 507 of the family's 1533-position model. The record is from RNAcentral.